GAUGAACGCUGGCGGCGUGCUUAACACAUGCAAGUCGAACGAUGAAGCUGGAGCUUGCUCCGGUGGAUUAGUGGCGAACGGGUGAGUAACACGUGAGCAAUCUGCCCUUGACUCUGGGAUAACUGCGGGAAACUGUAGCUAAUACCGGAUACGACGCCUUGGGGCAUCCCACGGGCGUGGAAAGAAUUUCGGUCAAGGAUGAGCUCGCGGCCUAUCAGCUUGUUGGUGAGGUAGUGGCUCACCAAGGCGACGACGGGUAGCCGGCCUGAGAGGGUGACCGGCCACACUGGGACUGAGACACGGCCCAGACUCCUACGGGAGGCAGCAGUGGGGAAUAUUGCGCAAUGGGCGAAAGCCUGACGCAGCAACGCCGCGUGAGGGAUGAAGGCCUUCGGGUUGUAAACCUCUUUUAGCAGGGAAGAAGCGAAAGUGACGGUACCUGCAGAAAAAGCACCGGCUAACUACGUG
This 468-nucleotide ribosomal RNA is filed under the name uncultured bacterium. Its description in RNAcentral is "bacterial SSU rRNA". It matches the Rfam family "Bacterial small subunit ribosomal RNA", at positions 28 to 507 of the family's 1533-position model. The record is from RNAcentral.